This 10455-nucleotide long non-coding RNA is filed under the name Podarcis lilfordi (Lilford's wall lizard). Lineage: Eukaryota; Metazoa; Chordata; Lepidosauria; Squamata; Lacertidae. The record is from RNAcentral.
CAGAAGCAUUACCAGGGGAGAAAUCAAUUGGCAGCAGCUGAGAAGAGAUAUUUAAGUUGAAGGCCAGAACAUCUUAAUUGGGAAAGGGUGUUAAAAGUUGGAGCUAGAGUCACUUCAACAUAUAACAAAGCUCUCAAAAAAGACUUUCUAUAAAAUCAAGUAAGGUCAAAUAUAAUGGGAAAUGCCUUGCCAAACCCAAGGGGGGGGGGGUUGAAAUUGUCCACAAAGACUUUAGAUUCUGCACUAGAAUAGCCUUUCCACAAAAUCAGUUGUUUGUGUACGUUCAGCUGUUUAUCCUUUGUAGUGCACAAUGCAUAUGCCUUCCCCAGAACUUGUGCUUCUAUUGUGGGGCUAUAUCGCAAUAUUUUAUGGUUUGGGAGAGUGACAUUUGUCCCCCAAAUACUGGAUGCAUGGCUAUUAGUUAUGUAUGCAGUGUUGCUUAUGCAAGUGUCAAGGACACCUCUUGGAUAUUACCUCUCAAGUGAAAGAUAAGUAACAAAUCUGCACUUUGUGCCCAGUUCUACUGACAUUUUGUGACCUUCAGAAACACUUUCCCCUCACAAACCAGGAGACCCUGUAGUUCUCCAGAAGUUGCUGGACUAAGCGCCCUCCACCCCUGACCACUGGCCAUGUUGGAUGGGACUGCUGGGCACUGGGGUGACAACAACAUUUGAAGGGGCCACGAGUUCUUGAUUCUUAUCUUAGAGGUUGUGUGCUUCCCUGCUAUGCAUAUCAAACAGAGGGGAAAAAUUGUUGUGGCUGUUAAGUAAUGCCACUGAAGUUAUCUGUCCCCUGCUCUCUGGCCAGUAUCUUGGCAGCCAUCUGGGUCUAGAUCAUAUUUCACUCCUCCAGCCUUUAAUUCAGAGAUGGGAAAUCAAUGGCUCUUCAGGUGUUAUUGGGUCUCCAAUUCCCAUCAGCCACAAACAGCAAAGCCAAUGGUUAAGGAUAUUGGGAAUUGGUCCAACAACAUCGGGAGAGUCACAGAUGCCUCACCUUUCUGCUGAAGGGGAAUUUUUUUGUGCAAACUCUAUAAAAAGGGGGAAAGGAACCAAAAAAAUCCUUCAAUUUUGAAAUCCUUUAUUAGUAUUUUUUAAAGGAAGAUUCAAGAUUCAUUGUGAUCUUAGCUGCCCUCUCCUCACCUUCCUUGUGCUAGAGGUUCUCGUGAAGCUUUUUUUAAAAAAGAAGAGCACACAAAUGUAGCAAAAUAUAUUUUUAUGCGGUGCAACAUAGUCUCAUUAAAGCAAGCAAACGUAAUCAAGUUUUGAAUGUGAUCCAACAUUGUUUCAACAGACGUGAUGGAACUUCCCUUACUAUUUGGCAACCUCUGUCUCCACCCACUCUGUUCCAAAGACUCACCAAUACUCAGGAGUAGAUUUAGAGGGUCAGCAGUGGGCAGGAGAGGUAGGGGAGCAGUCUGUUGUGCAUGCACAAUGCCACAAUCAGAUAUCACCCUUUGGCUUGAUAUUCCCCCCACCCACCCCCAAAACUGAACAAAGAAUCUAUAAAAAAAACCCACAGGGUAAGCAGGCUAGCUGUUAACAACUUAAAAAUAAACUGGUAUAUUUAUUUAAAUAAAACUGAAACUGUGUUUGUUUGCCAUGAUAUAAUGAAAUUAUGGGUGCUAGUUUUAUGCUGCAGUAUUAUAAUGUGGGGGGAUGAUAGGAUACAGCUGUAAUGCACAAGAGAAAGAGAAAAGGGAAAAAAAACUGAAUAAGAUUAGAUUUUCAAUUAGCCCAUAUUUGGCUGAUACAAGAGACUGUGCAUACAUUUUGAGUUACAAUAAAAGAUUGUAGGAAAAGAGUAUAGUAUAGCUGAAAUCCUGUAUAUUUGCGCCUAUAGAUGUCUGUCCAAGAAAAAGAUAUAUGAAAGGGCAAACCAGAUGCUCAUUGAUUUCAACAUUUCUACAUUGCUUCCUUAGUCCUCUAGAAGCAGCAAGCUCAUACAACAACAGCAACAACAACAAUUCAGUUCAUUGCUAUUGGGAAAUUAUCACAGAAAUUCUAGUCUCUGAAAUAUUCAAUUCUGCUACAUUUCCUAUCCUGUGGUGACUCUUCUAAUCAAUAUUUUACUUGAAAGGAGUCGAACUCCCUCCUAUUUUAUUUAACUUUAAUAGGUACUAUUCCAGGUAAGUAAAUAUAUAUCAUGUGACACUACAUUAUCAGCCAGAAAAGCCAAGGCUCUGAGAUUAUGAAAUCCUUCCUGUCUUUGAUUUGUUCAGAAUAACCACUCAAAAUCUGAAUGGACAUUGCUUGUCAAAUACAGUAUAAAUAAAGUCCUUGCCCCAUUCUCUCACUCAGAGUAGAAAUUAGCACCAGGUGAAUACAGAGUUCAUCUUUAGCUGUCGGGGCUUGUGAUGUGACCUGCUUGACUAGCAUUACUGAAAAUUAAGAUGCCUGUUCAGUAACACACACAAAAGUGAUCAAUGCUGUAACAUUUCUCAAAACCAGAUAUUUGUAGUAGAUAAGUACUUUUAUAUUUAUACCAUUUUAAAGAAAUUCAGUUUGAAUUUUUGUUCUUUUAAGUUUUGAAUUCAAGCUGAAACCAGAAUUCUUAGUGGGCCGAUUGAAUCAGAUUUUCUGGUUAGGAAUCAUCUGGAUCAGACCAUUUAUUAUUAUUAUUAUUAUUACUACUGCUACAUACAAAUGAAUGCAAACAGCAACAAAAAACUAAUGGAAUAUGAUUUUUUUAUGUUAAUAUAAAAUGUAGUAAUGGAAUGAUCAAUUUCGUGUGUUCACCAUAUGGCAUACAAUAAUAGCAAAGAAUGUAUCCCCAUUUCUUGGUCAACAUCACCCUCCAUUUUCCUUCCAGCAGUUUUGAUACGAAUGAGCUGAAUGAAUGCAUAUUCAUUAUUAAUUUGUAAUCUGUCUCAACUAGGGUGAGUAGGUGUAUUAGGAAACAAACUAAUACAGUUUCUCCCUCUGAUAACCCAUUUUGGUUGCUUGUUGGUGGACAGAUAUUUUGAGAAAUCAUAUACAGGCAUCUCCCAAGUUAGUAAUUUCAUAGGAACCAGCAUCCUUAGCCAGUCAGAACAAGAAAGCUAUAAAACCUCUUUAAUUUAUUUAUUUAUUUAUUUUAAAAAAACCUAACAUUUUUUCCUUUAAAGUUAUCAGUUGUACAGGAUUGGGUAUAUUUGUACUUUGGAAAGUACAAAGAUUCUAGGCAUAUAGUUGAAGGCUUCGUUUGAAUUGGAGAAUUUGGUCUCCUUCCAUUUAAAGUUCAUUUCAUAUGUGCAAUUCAGAAAAGGUGCUUCAAGAAACUUUGGCAAUCUACAGUUAGCUAGUAUCAAUGCUCUUCUAAUAUUGUGUAUAUUUCAAAUAAGGGAGAACUUGGAACAAAUUUACUCAACCACAAAAAGAGAUUGGAAAGGAGGCCCAGAGGAAACACACAUGAUUGUAGGAUAAGCAGUUUCAGAAAGUGAACAUUAAGGUGGGAAGGAACAUAUUAUUGUUGUUUAUCUCAGAAAGAAAGCUCUUAGCGAAAUGACAUGCUUUAGCUGGGAUUUCUAACUUCAGUUAGCAAAACAGGAUUGAAUCUGCUAAGUAAAUACAAUGAACUGAACCAAGUAAAAGUAUUAUCAAAAUGGGUUUAAACACAGUCUAUUAGAUACAACCUUAUGAGCAAUAAUUUAGCCCAGAAAGUAUUUGGCCUUCCAGGUUUACGUGUGAUUUAAAGAGGCCUCCUCUCUCAUACUAAGCAAUGAGUCUCUUUAAAGGAUUUUGUCUAUACUCAUUUUUGACAGAUGAAAUUAGCAUGGUGGUUUGGGGGAAUGAAGUUUGUCAUAUAAAUCCAUGAAGCCAAAUGUUGGGGUAAAUGAAUAGAACAUGUUUGGAAACUGUCUUGAAACAUUCAAAGAACAUUGUUCAAUGGUGAAGGGUAUAACAAAAAAAAAUAAAUCACAAGUAUUGAAUGUGAACACCUCUAAGGAUUAAAAUUGAGAACUGUAGAGGAUUCUAAAUUUAUUUUUUAAAACUUACUUACUACUAAACAUGUUAUAUAUGCUAGGGAAUUACAAUUCCAACAAUUCCAACUCAACCAAUCUUAUCAGAUUCCAGAACAUUUAAAGGCUAAUGUACAGGCAUAUAUCAGAUGAAUUUUGGAACUGGAAGUGACUGAGUCAUCAGGCAAACUAAGGCCCGGGGGCUGGAUCUGGCCCAAUCGCCUUCUCAAUCCGGCCUGCAGACGGUCCAGGAAUCAGCAUGUUUUUACAUGAGUAGAAUGUGUGCUUUUAUUUAAAAUGCACCUCUGGGUUAUUUGUGGAGCCUGCCUAGUGUUUUUACAUGAGUAGAAUGCGUGCUUGUAUUUAAAAUGCAUCUCUGGGUUAUUUGUGGGGCAUAGGAAUUCGUUCAUUUCCCCCAAAAAAAUACAGUCCGGCCCCCUGCUGAAAUAGUUGUUGACCCCUGUUGGUAAUCAUUACUGUGUCAAAAACAAAGAAUGUUUUCAUAUUUCCCCCCUUCUGAUACUAACACUUUAAAGUUCUCGGUCCCUGGCUAUGCGAUUUUCAGUCAUGUCAAAAAUCAUAUGUCCUUUCAUCCAUCGAAUACAGCUUUAUUUGUAAAUAUAUAUUUUUUCAGGCAGGAAUGAAGAUUUGGAGAUAUGCUUCAGAGAUCCAGACUAUGGGGAGCCCGGAAAAACUACAAUUUGGACUACAAUUUGAUCGCUUUUUUAUUUUAGUUUAUUGUUUUUAAUUGGAUUAUGAUGCGGAUAUGUUGAUUGGCUGUUUUUAUUGGAAAAUCAAUAAAAAUGAUUUUUAAAAAAACAAAACAAAGAAUGGAGCUAUCCAUUUCUGCAUUAAUUUUAGACCAUAGAACAGUAAGUCAGCAUGUGAUCAUUCUCCGAUAACUAGUAUUGUUAGAGCUCCCGGGUAAAGCCAACUAUAUUUGCUUUUAACAACUUACAGACUCCUUUAGAAGAGGAAGAAGAAAGUAAAACUUUACUGCAAUGUUUCAGAGGUUGCCUCCAUUUGCAGUUAUGCCUUUUUGGUUUACAGCAACUUUCCAAAGGCUCAUGGAUCAACUAUUAUGUACACAUGUGGGAUAUGCAGCAGCACAUCUCAAGUAUUUGAUCAUUUGUUGUUCAAACGGACAGUCAUCUGAAACACCUAGAAGUGCUGACGCUGGCCAGACUUUAGUACAGCAACUUCAGAAUUGUCCACUGCUGGGAAAAGUUAAGUGUAUAUUGUUGAUACACAGAGGUGAAGUCAGGGAUAGCUAAAGGUGACACGUUAGAAAUAACUUUCUAUUGACUAAUUUGUUGGGAGGGGCCACACAAUGAAAAUGGUGAUAGGAAGAGAAGAUGUUCAAAAUGCUGUAAUGGAAUUGAAAGAAAUGUUUGGUAUAAGAUUUAGCCGAACUAGGAAAAGUCUUUUUGUACUGGAGAGCAGUGGAUCUGAUGUGGGCUUUGGGACAAUGAUGAAACAAGAAAAAUAUGGGAGUGAACAGCUAAUAUCCUACAGAACAAAAGGAUAAGAAGAAGAAGAGUUUGGAUUUGAUAUCCCACUUUAUCACUACCCAAAGGAGUCUCAAAGCGGCUAACAAUCUCCUUUCCCUUCCUCCCCCACAACAAACACUCUGUGAGGUGAGUGGGGCUGAGAGACUUCAGAGAAGUGUGACUAGCCCAAGGUCACCCAGCAGCUGCAUGUGGAGGAGCGGGGAAGCGAACCCGGUUCCCCAGAUUACAAGACUACCGCUCUUAACCACUGCACCACACUGGCUCAUAUAUUGGAUAAUUAUCACACUGGAUAACAUUUUAGGGGAAAAUAUUAAGUGGAUAAUUGAAUUGCUCAGGCAUUGGCUGUCAGGGGACAACCCUUCUGUUAGUAAUUGACCAGUGCCCAUUAAUAUGGAUUAAUCAAACAAAAUACACAAAUGCUAUUGUUACUUGACAAUUCAGCCAUAUUGUUUCUAAGGUAAGCAAAGAAUAGGGACAGAUGUUGAUUAUCUGUUCAGAUAUAGAUAUAUAAUGUAUUCUGAAAACUGCUUGUAGCCCGUGGGUCUAUGUGUGUUUUAAACUGUAGCACUUGUCCAGGGCUCCUUUACCUUUACCUUUCUUGUAUUUGUGCUGAAAUCGCUGCUUAGAAAUCUCAUCUGGGAUGGUGAUAAGGGGAUACAGGUAGCUUUAGCUACUGAGAACCAGCAAAGUGUUACAACUUAAAAUAGAGGAGGAAAAAGAGGAGCCCACGUUGCAACAGUUUUACUAUGAACAAGCUGGAUGGUGGUUAAGCUGAGACACACCUAGACUACUAAAUGGGGUGGGGGGCAGGAUCCAGACUGUAUUGCCCUUGGACUAGUUGGAAUUAUUUCCUUUGAUGGGCUUGGACAUCCUUCCUGUAAUUAGGAGAAUUCUGUUAUACACUAACUAUUUUUAAGGAGAUAUUUUGUGAGAAACACAAUCGCUUUAAUUAAACUUUAACUAAAUCAUGGGAAGUUUUGAAACCUAAACUGAACAGAUGAGCACUGAUGUGUGUUUUUUAACGACCCCUUGCUUAGGCAUUCCCGUGGCCCAGUCCCACAAUUAAAGAACUAACCAGCUUGCUGCUGUUCCAGUUACACUGCAGCUAGAAAGAAAGGAAACCCGAGGAGAGAAACUGCAGUGGUGGCUGGGCAAAAGUAAUUUCAGAGUGGGAAUGGACACACAGAGAGAGUGAAGAGAUGGAGUCCAUCUUCUAAAAUUGCUCUGAGCACUAGGUGGGGUGAAUAGCUGGUGCUUUCAGGGUCCAGUGACCAUCCCAGAUACAAUCAAGCCAGCCUCCUUGAACAAUCAGGGUUGUUGCUGGGUACUAUAAUGGAGGCUGCCUUGCAUUUCUUAACCAUACAUGAGCUGAGAAGCCAGGCAGCACCAAUUCACCACUUGGGAGCCUCAGAACAUAUAUGGCAGCCUCUUACAGUACCCUGAGGGUGUCUGUAAGCACAGUACCAGGUUGCCUUUCAAGCUCCAUGCUGGUAGGCCAGUGAAGCCUCUUUGCACAUGCACAUGGAAGCCAUUCUGGCUUCUGUGAUCUGAGCCACAGGUUUGUAUGAUCAGAAUGUAGAUCCAUUCUACUCUCUGCCAAAAUUUUAGAGAGCAGAGCCAGUUGUUUCAUUGCUCUCAUAGAUGCACAGUAUCUUGUGCCAAAGGUUGCCACUAUUGUGAUGAUCAUGAUCUUCAGUAACCUGGAAAGCUGUUGCUGCAUUGAAUAUACUCCAUGCUGCCAGAAAUAUGGGCUAUACAGAGGUGAAAAUGAAAAUCAUAGAUAUUUAGUGCAACUCUAAAGCACACUAGAUUUAAGGGAACAAUGACAGGCAUGGAACAAGGACCUACAGUACUUAUAUGAUGUGAUAGCCAUAUUCAGAUAGCUAAUGGGCUGUCACGUAGAAAAUGGAGCGAGCAUGUUUUCUCUUGUUCCAUAGGGUAGGAUCUGAACUGAUAGAUUCAAGUUACAAGAAAGGAGAAUCUGACUAAACAGCAGGAAGAAAUUUCUGACAGUAAGAACUGUUCAACGGUAGAAGAGCUCCCUCAGAAGGUGGUGGACUCUCCUUUCUUAGAAGAUUUUAAGCAGAGGUUGAAUGGGAUGACCAUCUGUCAUAGGUGUUUGAGAUUCCUGCAUUGCAAGGGGCAGGACUGAGGUCCUGAGGGUGACUUCCAAUUCUACAGCUCUAUGAUUCUAUAUGCCAGUCAGUACUCCCUAGUCCUAGUCUGAUACCUUGUGAACUAUACACACAUUCAGGCAUUUCCCUGACCACACAAAGGUUUUAUCUUUGCAUAGGGAAGGAGUGCACAAGCAAUCAGCGUCCCCACUGUCCCUGACAGAUGUGCUUCAGCCCUUUAUAUGCUUGUAAUUCUCUCUAACCAGGGCUUCCAAUCAAAAGGUACAAAGUGCAUUUCUAACUGGGGACACUAGGAGACGACAUGUGUGAGUGCCCCUGUCCCAUCCACAGAUAACACAUUUGUAUGCUUAGGCAAACAUGAGUAUGGUGUAUAAUAAAUACACUGACUUACCACAGAACACACUUCUCUGGCAGUCAGAUUUCAGAUCAUGCUGUCAUACUAUUUGGAGGGGUUAAUAAAUUUGGGAGGGUCCGCAGCUCAGUGGUAAAGCACAUGCUUUGCAGGCACAAAUUCCCGGGUUGACUAAGAGGCAGAUCCAGUGAUGUGAGAGAUCCGCAGCUUGAGACCCCCGGGAGCUCAUGCCAAUCAAAAUAGGCAACAUGAGGCAAUGCAGAACUAGAUGGGCAGGCAGUCUGGACUGGUAUAGGGGCAGCAGCGUCUCAUGUUCCUAUGCAAAAUUCCACUGCAUCCACAGUGAUGAACGUGUGGCUCAUAGCAAUAAGGAGUUCUUUGUUGGAUUUAAAUACAGUGGUACCUCCGGAUGCUCACUGGAAGGACAGAUCGUGAAGCUGAGGCUCCAAUACUUUGGCCACCUCAUGAGAAGAGAAGACUCCCUGGAAAAGACCCUGAUGUUGGGAAAGAUGGAGGGCACAAGGAGAAGGGGAUGACAGAGGACGAGAUGGUUGGAUAGUGUUCUCGAAGCUACCAGCAUGAGUUUGACCAAACUGCGGGAGGCAGUGGAAGACAGGAGUGCCUGGCGUGCUCUGGUCCAUGGGGUCACGAAGAGUCGGACACGACUAAACAACUAAACAACAACACCUCGGGAUGCGAAUGGAAUCCAUUCCAGAGCCCCGUUCGCAUCCAGAAUCAAACAUGACUAGUGACGGAACAUCUGUGCAUGUGCUCGUCGCUUUUCGCCGCUUCUGCACAUGCGUGUGACAUCAUUUUGAGCGUCUGCGCAUGCGUGAGCGGCAAAACCCAGACGUAACACGCUCCGUUACUUCCGGGUUGCCGCAGAGCGCAACUUGAACGUGCUCAACAUGAAGCAUAUUCAACCCGAGGUAUGACUGUAGUGCCUUUCUGCCAAGGCACUAAGGUGGUUUGCAACUUGGAAUAUUAACAGAAAGAAAUGAUAAAAAAUAUUCUCAAGCAUUGACAUUAGGUGUUUCCUGGCUUCUCCUUUGCAUCAGGGCUAAUAGGUCUUAAGCAGCCCUGGGGAAGGAGGGGAAUGGGGAAUUUUGCCCUAUUAUUUAGUGCAGGGUUGGGGAACCUGUGGCCUGUCAGAGGCUGCUGGAUUCCAGCUCCCACAGUUCUGAUCAUUUGCUGUGCUGGCUGGGGCUGAUGACAGCUGAGUCCAACAACCUCUGAAAGAUCACAGAUUCCCCAUCACUGAUUAACUGCAUUGUUCCACACGUGAGAAUUACAGGAAGGUAUUUUUGUUAAUCUAUUAUACAGGAGGAAAUAUGCAGGUAAUUCACCUAAAGUUGUUUAUCAGGUGGGUAAUACAGAGAAAUAUCAUCUAUGGAGUAGCUAGGUUUGUGAUGGCUGCACAGACAUCAAGGAAGAAUUGUUUAGAAGAAAAGGGUAUUAACUUUUAUGAUAUCCAACUGUGUUAAUUAUUUUGUCUAUUUUAUGGAAAAGGUUUGUCUCUCUUGCAAGCUUCCCUGUAAACUAGAUGGAUGCUCCUUUACUUUUUUCCUUUCUUCUUUUAAUAUUGGAUGAUAAAUGUGAUGAUAUUGUAAUGGCCAUAUUGGAUAAUAUAUAUAUAUAUAUGUAUGUGUGUGUGUAUAUAUAUAUUGCUUUUUAUCUUUCAAUAAAGAAUAAAAAAUAAAAAAUACAAGAGAUAUAACAGCUCUUAAAUUCUACAUAGUAAUUCAUAGCAGAGCACACACUACUUCACAUGCACUUGUUAUUUUUGCCAUUUGCCUGCUAUUUUAAAGCCCAUUCAUACAAACAUCCAUUUAAAAUAUUCUAAAAAGGCAAUAUCCUGACUGGAGCGCUUUCAUUCCAUUCAGCAUUGCAACAAAUUGCCUGACUGAAAAGUAAAUAUUUACUUCAGAAGAAUAUGAAACUUACAAAAAUAUAACAACACACAUAAACAAUAUGAAAUUACUUUAACUAAACUUUAUUUGACUGAUGUUUCACAAGGGUUCUGCUUGUGCAUUUUUUAGUUUAAUACCAACCACAGUUAGGCUCAGUUUGCACAUAAUGCAAAGGCAAACCAUGGGUUUGGAUGAACGUGUAGUACCGGAGAGGAGAUCACAGUCAUUUUGCUGCUACUGUAGUUCUGCUGCCACUGUGAGCUAAAGCUAUGGUUUUGCUUUACAUGUUGCCCAAACCUGGGCUUAUGGUUUUCCUGGUCUGAGACAAACCACAAGUCCAAAACUAAACCAUGGCUUAGCUCACAUCAGCAGCAGGACUGGAGGAAGAGCAAAGAGACUGUGUGUUCAUGUUAAUCCAUGGUUUAGCUUAGUGUUACAUGCAAACAGGGUCACAAUGGGUUAGCACAGUGAUGGCCAAACUUGGUCCUCCAGAUGUUUUGGGACUACAACUCCCAUCAUCCCCAACCACUGAUCCUGUUAGCUAGGGAUGAUGGGAGUUGUAGUCCCAAAACAUCUGGAGGACCAAGUUUGGCCACCACUGGAUUAGCAC